RNAcentral lists this ribosomal RNA (498 nucleotides) under uncultured bacterium. RNAcentral's name for it is "partial 16S ribosomal RNA". It matches the Rfam family "Bacterial small subunit ribosomal RNA", at positions 28 to 523 of the family's 1533-position model. The record is from RNAcentral.
GAUGAACGCUAGCGGCAGGCCUAAUACAUGCAAGUCGGACGGGAUUUGGGAGCUUGCUCCUAAUGAGAGUAGCGCACGGGUGCGUAACACGUAUGUAACCUACCUUAAUCAGGGGGAUAGCCUCUCGAAAGAGAGAUUAACACCGCAUAACAUAUUUUUAUGGCAUCGUAGAAAUAUCAAAUAUUUAUAGGACUAAGAUGGGCAUGCGGAACAUUAGCUAGUUGGUAAGGUAACGGCUUACCAAGGCUACGAUGUUUAGGGGAUCUGAGAGGAUGACCCCCCACACUGGUACUGAGACACGGACCAGACUCCUACGGGAGGCAGCAGUAAGGAAUAUUGGUCAAUGGGCGCAAGCCUGAACCGGCCAUGCCGCGUGCAGGAAGACGGCCCUAUGGGUUGUAAACUGCUUUUGUACCGGAAUAAACCCUUUUACGUGUAGAAGGCUGAAUGUACGGUAAGAAUAAGGAUCGGCUAACUCCGUGCCAGCCGCCGCGGUAA